AUGAAUUCAUAUGCCUGAAUCCAGUUUGUAGCGUUUCAGCAAAAAAAUGGGCGACAAAAGGAAAAAGCAGCGAUAUGUUCACGACGACACACCCUCUCCCUCUUCUUCAUCCUCUUCCUCCACCGCCUCCGACUCCGAUUCGGACUCCGACCGCUCUUCCAGGCGCCGCCGUCGCCGCCGUGAGAAGGAGCGCCGCAGAAGGAGCGAUGGAGGCUCCAAGCGCGAAAGAGAGAGCAGUAGGAGAAGGGAAAAGAGGAAGAAGAGAGACAGAGAUAGGAAGAAGACCAAGAGGCACCGUCAUUCUGAUGACGAAUCCCACUCUUCCGAGGACGAAGACAAGCUCAGGGUUCAGCCUCUUUCCGUCGUGCGUGAAUUGAUGACCGAAUUCCCCAACGUUGGCAACGAUUUGAAGCAGCUCUUGCAAAUGAUUGACGACGGUCAAGCUGUUGACAUCAAGGGUAUAUCAGAAAGAUCUCUUAUGAAGCAUCUGAAGAAGCUUUUCCUUUCAUUAAAUCUUAAGGAAAAUGGGGAUAGAGUUUUCUUACGGCCUUCUAAAGCUCGCCCUACAUUGGAUGUUGUUGGCCCUCUAAUUCAGUCUCUUAUGUCUCCCAUGAAUGAGCAAGCUGAUCCUUCUACAGAAGUGCCUGAUACAAGUUCAGUUCCCAUCGAUGUGGGGAGUGAACAGAUGGUAGAUGAUCAUAUAACAGCAACUCCAGAGGAUAAUUCUGUUGGUCCUAGAAGAAGGAUGAUGGGCCCUGCUAUGCCAUCAGCUGAAUUACUCGCAGCUGCUGCCAAAUUAACGGAGGCACAGGCUGAGCUUAGAGAAGCUGCGGGGGACGACGAUGAACUAUUUUUCGGGCCUCCACCACCUGCUAUGAUUAAUGAAGCAGAAUCCGCGAAUGAAGCAGAACGUUUUGAAGAGGUCACUAGGAUCAUGGAAGUUGAUGCUGACAGCCCAUAUGAUGUUUUAGGAGUUAACCAUAAUAUGUCAAGUGCUAACGUAAAGAAAAGGUACUGGAAGAUAUCUCUAUUGGUUCAUCCAGAUAAAUGCUCUCAUCCACAAGCCAACCAAGCAUUUAUUAAGUUAAAUAAAGCUUUCAAAGAUUUACAAGAUCCAGAAAAGCGGAAAGCUAUGGAUGACAAAAUCAAGCUCAAACAAGAACAGGAGGAACUUAAGGCUGAACUUAAAGUCAUGCGUGAGAAUGCACUGUGGAGAAGAUCCCAAGGUAUAUCCAUGGAGGGUGAUGAAGAGCUUCUGGCAGCGACAGAGGUUAAAGAAGAGCCCAAAAGAGAUGAAUGGAUGACAACACUGCCUCCGGAGAGGAAACCUGGUGGUAUGCCUACACAAUCAACUACGUUUAGCCAGGGCACAAAGGAAGGUAGAGGUGAUACUAGUGCUUGGACAGACACCCCUUCUGAUAGAGCCCAGAAAGCGAAAAUGAAUUAUUUGGAAGCAUACAAUGAAGCUUCUGCACUGGUCUCAAAUGAAGAGGAUAAGAAAAGGGCUAAUGCAGAUGCAGAUUUGGUGGACAAAUACAAUAAAGCAAAACGAUCAAAAACAUUGGUGCAAAAGCAUCAAGAAAUGGUUGCUGGCAAAUCAAAGAAAAAGACCAAGCAAAAGCCAGAGAAGGAAGAUUGGGCUGGUCAACAUCCAUGGAAGCCAUGGGACCGUGAAAAGGAUCUGACAGCUGGGAGGCAAAGUGUAAAAUUAGAUCCAGAAAGCAUGACUCAGGGCUUAUCUUCAAGGUUUUCUGCUGGAAACUUUCAGAGGAACUUCCUUUGAUUUAGAGUUCACAUUUCAAUUAUGAAGCCUUUUUGUGCCUGGAAAAAUCUGUUCAAUGAGCUUCUUAGAGAAAUUGAAAUAUUAUUUCUUUUCUAUGUAGCCAGUUGGUGCUGAAUAUAGUUUCAUGUCCUUCAAGUGCUAUGGAGAAUUCUAAUUAUGCAAUUACGUGGCUGGCAAUUAUUUUCUGAAGUUUAUCCACUCAAUGGCCUGAUUCUAAUUUUGAUCAAUUUUACUGAUGUAUAUUUAUCAAGCAUGUUUAUCUGUAAUAUUUAUGUUUGUUGCAUGUGUGGUUAUCUA
Lotus japonicus is the source of this 2080-nucleotide RNA transcript. RefSeq lists it as uncharacterized. The record is from RefSeq and is a predicted model, not a curated record. NCBI's taxonomy places the organism in Eukaryota, Viridiplantae, Streptophyta, Magnoliopsida, Fabales, Fabaceae. The transcript is spliced from 12 exons.